RNAcentral lists this small nucleolar RNA (146 nucleotides) under Zosterops lateralis melanops. RNAcentral's name for it is "U8 small nucleolar RNA (ENSZLMG00000006258.1)". It matches the Rfam family "U8 small nucleolar RNA". From Rfam's summary of the family: U8 is a member of the C/D class of snoRNA which contain the C (UGAUGA) and D (CUGA) box motifs. Lineage: Eukaryota; Metazoa; Chordata; Aves; Passeriformes; Zosteropidae. The record is from Rfam by way of RNAcentral.
UCGUCAGUGAGGUACAUCCUGACCUGCCCCGCCCCCUGCGCGGGCAGCGCGUGAUGAGCGCGGCGUCAUGACGUCACUGAUUACGUCACCCGCCCGGCGAGCGCGGGUUGGUUGCAACAAAGCCCGCGCCGCCCACAGACUCUGAC